This 1455-nucleotide ribosomal RNA is filed under the name Triticum aestivum (bread wheat). Its description in RNAcentral is "partial small subunit ribosomal RNA". Lineage: Eukaryota; Viridiplantae; Streptophyta; Magnoliopsida; Poales; Poaceae. The record is from RNAcentral.
AUGAUUUCUCAAUUUAGGCUGAUUGCUUUAAUCAACAACUUCGCAAGGAUGCCUGCAAAGGGCAUGGCCACUAGGCUAUCUCCCAUUGCACAUCGGACCAUUAGCCCUUUCCAGUCUGCUUUCAUCAAAGGGAGGUUCAUUUUGGACGGGGUGCUUUGUUUACAUGAGAUUGUUCAUGACUUACGGGUGCGAGGGACCAAGGCUGUGGUUCUCAAACUUGACUUUGAAAAGGCCUACGACUCGGUUAGCUGGAAAUUCCUUCGGCAAGUUCUUUUGGAUAAGGGCUUUGAGGGGCCUGUUAUGCAGCGCUUGAUGCAAUUGGUUUCUGGGGGGCACACGGCUGUGGCUGUCAAUGGCCAAAUUAGCCAGUUUUUUGCUAAUGGCAGGGGCCUCAGGCAAGGGGAUCCAACGUCCCCUUUACUCUUCAACUUUGUGGCUGAUGCUCUAUCUCGCAUUCUCUCUCGAGCUGCCUUGGCUGGUCAUAUCACUCCGGUGAGCUCUCAUCUCAUCCCUAAUGGCAUCUCUCAUCUCCAAUAUGCGGAUGAUACUAUAAUUCUGAUGGAACUUAAUGAUAAUAGCCUCACCAAUCUGAAAUUCCUUCUGCUUUGUUUCGAAGCGCUCUCAGGUCUUAAAAUCAAUUUCUCUAAGAGUGAGGUUGUAGUGACUGGGGUCUCGGACGAAGAGGCGCAGCGGGUGGCCCAUCUUCUGAACUGCUCUUUGGGAUCCUACCCUCUCAAAUAUCUAGGCCUCCCCAUUUCCCCGCUUAAACUUUUGGCUAAAGACUUUGCUCCGGUGGUUACCAAAGUUGGCAACAGAGUUCUCCCUUGGCGAGGGCGAUAUAAUACGCAAGCGGGCAAGGUCGCCCUUACUAACUCAUGUCUUUCUUUGCUACCUAUGUUCUCAAUGGGAUUCUAUCUUCUCUCUAGUGGGGUUCAUAAUGGUUUUGACAAGCAUAGGGGUGCUUUCUAUUGGAAUGCAGCGGACAAUAAACGUAAGUACAAGAUGGUUAGAUGGGACAUUAUAUGUCGCCCCAAGGCCAAAGGGGGUCUGGGCAUUAUUAAUACGCGAGUGAUGAAUAAUUGUCUUAUGAUCAAAUGGUGGUGGAAGAUCAUGACUCUUGAGGAACUGCCACCCUGGCUCUCUAUCCUAAAAGCUAAAUAUUUCCCCUCCUCGAGUCCUAUGUUCGCGCCGGCUACGGGUGGGUCGCAAUUUUGGCAUCAACUGGUUAAAGUCCGGCCGAUCUUUCGGUCCCUUGUAAAAUUUGUAGUUAGGAACGGUAAGUCUACGCGGUUUUGGCUUGAUUGGUGGGUCGGGGACUCCACGCUGGCUGUUGCUUUUUCGGUUCUAUUUUCUUAUUGCGAUGAUACUGAGGUUUCUAUCUUUGAGCUCUGGGCUAGGGGUUGGGUUCUGGAUUUUCGUCGUUCUCUUUCUCCUGAAGAGUUGGAAGAUUGGUAG